AUGAACGCUGGCGGCGUGCCUAAUACAUGCAAGUCGAGCGAACGGACGAGAAGCUUGCUUCUCUGAUGUUAGCGGCGGACGGGUGAGUAACACGUGGAUAACCUACCUAUAAGACUGGGAUAACUUCGGGAAACCGGAGCCAAUACCGGAUAAUAUUUUGAACCGCAUGGUUCAAAAGUGAAAGACGGUCUUGCUGUCACUUAUAGAUGGAUCCGCGCUGCAUUAGCUAGUUGGUAAGGUAACGGCUUACCAAGGCAACGAUGCAUAGCCGACCUGAGAGGGUGAUCGGCCACACUGGAACUGAGACACGGUCCAGACUCCUACGGGAGGCAGCAGUAGGGAAUCUUCCGCAAUGGGCGAAAGCCUGACGGAGCAACGCCGCGUGAGUGAUGAAGGUCUUCGGAUCGUAAAACUCUGUUAUUAGGGAAGAACAUAUGUGUAAGUAACUGUGCACAUCUUGACGGUACCUAAUCAGAAAGCCACGGCUAACUACGUG
Molecule: ribosomal RNA, 496 nt
Filed under: uncultured bacterium
Lineage: Bacteria
Description: partial 16S ribosomal RNA
Rfam family: Bacterial small subunit ribosomal RNA
Source: RNAcentral